RNAcentral lists this ribosomal RNA (506 nucleotides) under uncultured bacterium. RNAcentral describes it as "partial 16S ribosomal RNA". It matches the Rfam family "Bacterial small subunit ribosomal RNA", at positions 29 to 523 of the family's 1533-position model. The record is from RNAcentral.
AGUGAACGCUGGCGGUAGGCCUAACACAUGCAAGUCGAACAGCAGCACAGGAGAGCUUGCUCUCUGGGUGGCGAGUGGCGGACGGGUGAGGAAUACAUCGGAAUCUACUCUGUCGUGGGGGAUAACGUAGGGAAACUUACGCUAAUACCGCAUACGACCUACGGGUGAAAGCAGGGGACCUUCGGGCCUUGCGCGAUUGAAUGAGCCGAUGUCGGAUUAGCUAGUUGGCGGGGUAAAGGCCCACCAAGGCGACGAUCCGUAGCUGGUCUGAGAGGAUGAUCAGCCACACUGGUACUGGGACACGGUCCAGACUCCUACGGGUGGCAGCAGUGGGGAAUAUUGGACAAUGGGCGCAAGCCUGAUCCAGCCAUACCGCGUGGGUGAAGAAGGCCUUCGGGUUGUAAAGCCCUUUUGUUGGGAAAGAAAUCCAGCUGGCUAAUACCCGGUUGGGAUGGCGGUACCCAAAGAAUAAGCACCGGCUAACUUCGUGCCAGCAGCCGCCGUAA